RNAcentral lists this ribosomal RNA (241 nucleotides) under Bombyx mori (domestic silkworm). RNAcentral describes it as "12S ribosomal RNA". The record is from RNAcentral. Lineage: Eukaryota; Metazoa; Arthropoda; Insecta; Lepidoptera; Bombycidae.
AAUAAAAUUAUUUAUGGUUUAAAAAUUUAUUAUAAAUUUAUUUUACAUAUAAAUUUUAGUGUUAAUUUUUAAUUUAUUUAAAUAAUAAUUAAUAUUUAUUUGUAGUAAUUAGAAUUAAAAAUUUAAGUAAUUAAGAUUUAGUAAUAUUUAAAUUAAUAACAAAUUUUGUGCCAGCAGUUGCGGUUAUACAAAAAUUAAAUUAAAUUUUUUUAGGGAUUAAUUAAUAAUAGAUUAUAUAAUA